AUGUCCAUUGAUCCGCCGAUGGAGGCGUUCUUCUGCCUGGCGCGGUGCCGGUUCAGUCGGCUUAUGGUGGUGAUGCAGCUGGUGAUGGGCGUGUUCGUCAUCUGCAUCAGCAUGGCCAACCUCCACCGCUUCUACACCACCGACUCCUUCCUCCCGGGCCUCGACGACUCCGCCAACUGCGCCAGGCUCCACACCGUCGCCGCCGCCGACGGGUACGCCGGCUUCGACAUCCGCGCGCUGGCCGACCGCGUCGACGACGUGCUCGUCCAGCUCGCCGAGCUCCAGGACAAGCUGGAGGCCACGGCGCUCAAGAUCGGCAAGAAGACCAAGAAGAAGGGCAAGGCGCACGGCAAGCAGGAGAACAUGACCUUGCCGGAGUUCAGGCGGUUCCUCGAGGACGAGGUCAUCCACCCGCUCUACGGCGCGCACAUCUCCCUGCGCCUGAUCCGCAUCCCCCGCCCCGACCCCGACGGCGGCGGCGGCGACGACGACGCCCCGGUCGUCGACCCGCUCGUCAACUUCUUCAUGGCGGAGGAAACGCGCAAGUACGUGACCACCAAGGGCAACCGCGAGGGCCGGCCCAACGUGUACGGCACCAACCGGACGUACGGCAGCAUCGGGCACGCCUGCGUGCUGAUGCGGCGGGAGCUGGACGAGUACAUGAGCUACGACGUCGGCUCCUACUGCCCGGACGACUGGGACCUGGGCCAGCGCCUCAUGCUCGGCGGCUGCGACCCGCUGCCGCGCCGCCGCUGCCUCGCCCGGGCCUCCAAGCUGUUCCAGCGCCCGCUGCCCAUCAACGAGUCGCUGUGGAGGCUCCCCGACGACGGCAACGUGCGGUGGAGCCGCUACCACUGCCGCGGCUACCGGUGCCUGUCCGCCAGGAACCCGCGGCCAGGGUACAGCCGGUGCGUGGGGUGCUUCGACAUGGACCGGGAGAAGCGGCGGUGGGUCAACGACACCAGCCGCAACGCGUCCCUGGCCGACUUCCGCAUCGACGAGGUGCUGGCGGUGAAGCCCGGCGAGGUGCGGAUCGGGGUGGACGUGAGCGUGGGCACGGGCAGCUUCGCGGCGCGCAUGCGGGAGCGCGGCGUGACCAUCGUGUCGGCGGCGCUCAACCUGGGCGCGCCGUUCGCGGAGACGGUGGCGCUGCGGGGGCUGGUGCCGCUCUACGCCACCAUGAGCCAGCGGCUGCCCUUCUUCGACAACACCAUGGACAUGGUGCACACGGCGGGCUUCUUCGAGGGGUGGGUGGACCUGCAGCUGCUGGACUUCGUGCUCUUCGACUGGGACCGCGUGCUCCGCCCCGGCGGCCUGCUCUGGGUCGACAGGUUCGCCUGCGCGCGCAGGGACCUCGACGACUACAUGUACAUGUUCCUGCAGUUCAGGUACAAGAAGCACCGCUGGGUCGUCUCCUUCAAGUCCAAGGACGAGGUCUAUCUCUCCGCUCUCCUCGAGAAGCCGCCCAGGUCAUGA
Molecule: ribosomal RNA, 1476 nt
Filed under: Triticum aestivum (bread wheat)
Lineage: Eukaryota; Viridiplantae; Streptophyta; Magnoliopsida; Poales; Poaceae
Description: partial small subunit ribosomal RNA
Source: RNAcentral